GGGUUGUGAGGUUAAGCGACUAAGCGUACACGGUGGAUGCCCUGGCAGUCAGAGGCGAUGAAGGGCGUGCUAAUCUGCGAUAAGCGCCGGUAAGGUGAUAUGAACCGUUAUAACCGGCGAUACCCGAAUGGGGAAACCCAGUGUGAUUCGUCACACUAUCAUUAACUGAAUCCAUAGGUUAAUGAGGCGAACCGGGGGAACUGAAACAUCUAAGUACCCCGAGGAAAAGAAAUCAACCGAGAUUCCCCCAGUAGCGGCGAGCGAACGGGGAGGAGCCCAGAGCCUGAAUCAGCAUGUGUGUUAGUGGAAGCGUCUGGAAAGGCGCGCGAUACAGGGUGACAGCCCCGUACACAAAAGCGCAUGUGCUGUGAGCUCGAUGAGUAGGGCGGGACACGUGGUAUCCUGUCUGAAUAUGGGGGGACCAUCCUCCAAGGCUAAAUACUCCUGACUGACCGAUAGUGAACCAGUACCGUGAGGGAAAGGCGAAAAGAACCCCGGCGAGGGGAGUGAAAAAGAACCUGAAACCGUGUACGUACAAGCAGUGGGAGCACNNNNNNNNNNNNNNNNNNNNNNNNNNUUUGUAUAAUGGGUCAGCGACUUAUAUUCUGUAGCAAGGUUAACCGAAUAGGGGAGCCGGAGGGAAACCGAGUCUUAAUUGGGCGUUAAGUUGCAGGGUAUAGACCCGAAACCCGGUGAUCUAGCCAUGGGCAGGUUGAAGGUUGGGUAACACUAACUGGAGGACCGAACCGACUAAUGUUGAAAAAUUAGCGGAUGACCUGUGGCUGGGGGUGAAAGGCCAAUCAAACCGGGAGAUAGCUGGUUCUCCCCGAAAGCUAUUUAGGUAGCGCCUCGUGAAUUCAUCUCCGGGGGUAGAGCACUGUUUCGGCUAGGGGGCCAUCCCGGCUUACCAACCCGAUGCAAACUGCGAAUACCGGAGAAUGUUAUCACGGGAGACACACGGCGGGUGCUAACGUCCGUCGUGAAGAGGGAAACAACCCAGACCGCCAGCUAAGGUCCCAAAGUCAUGGUUAAGUGGGAAACGAUGUGGGAAGGCCCAGACAGCCAGGAUGUUGGCUUAGAAGCAGCCAUCAUUUAAAGAAAGCGUAAUAGCUCACUGGUCGAGUCGGCCUGCGCGGAAGAUGUAACGGGGCUAAACCAUGCACCGAAGCUGCGGCAGCGACACUGUGUGUUGUUGGGUAGGGGAGCGUUCUGUAAGCCUGUGAAGGUGUGUCGUGAGGCAUGCUGGAGGUAUCAGAAGUGCGAAUGCUGACAUAAGUAACGAUAAAGCGGGUGAAAAGCCCGCUCGCCGGAAGACCAAGGGUUCCUGUCCAACGUUAAUCGGGGCAGGGUGAGUCGACCCCUAAGGCGAGGCCGAAAGGCGUAGUCGAUGGGAAACGGGUUAAUAUUCCCGUACUUGGUGUUACUGCGAAGGGGGGACGGAGAAGGCUAUGUUGGCCGGGCGACGGUUGUCCCGGUUUAAGCGUGUAGGUGUGUGUUCCAGGUAAAUCCGGUUCACUUUAACACUGAGGCGUGACGACGAGGCACUACGGUGCUGAAGCAACAAAUGCCCUGCUUCCAGGAAAAGCCUCUAAGCAUCAGGUAACAUCAAAUCGUACCCCAAACCGACACAGGUGGUCAGGUAGAGAAUACCAAGGCGCUUGAGAGAACUCGGGUGAAGGAACUAGGCAAAAUGGUGCCGUAACUUCGGGAGAAGGCACGCUGACACGUAGGUGAAGUGAUUUACUCAUGGAGCUGAAGUCAGUCGAAGAUACCAGCUGGCUGCAACUGUUUAUUAAAAACACAGCACUGUGCAAACACGAAAGUGGACGUAUACGGUGUGACGCCUGCCCGGUGCCGGAAGGUUAAUUGAUGGGGUCAGCGCAAGCGAAGCUCCUGAUCGAAGCCCCGGUAAACGGCGGCCGUAACUAUAACGGUCCUAAGGUAGCGAAAUUCCUUGUCGGGUAAGUUCCGACCUGCACGAAUGGCGUAAUGAUGGCCAGGCUGUCUCCACCCGAGACUCAGUGAAAUUGAACUCGCUGUGAAGAUGCAGUGUACCCGCGGCAAGACGGAAAGACCCCGUGAACCUUUACUAUAGCUUGACACUGAACAUUGAGCCUUGAUGUGUAGGAUAGGUGGGAGGCUUUGAAGUGUGGACGCCAGUCUGCAUGGAGCCGACCUUGAAAUACCACCCUUUAAUGUUUGAUGUUCUAACGUGGACCCGUUACCCGGGUUGCGGACAGUGUCUGGUGGGUAGUUUGACUGGGGCGGUCUCCUCCUAAAGAGUAACGGAGGAGCACGAAGGUUGGCUAAUCCUGGUCGGACAUCAGGAGGUUAGUGCAAUGGCAUAAGCCAGCUUGACUGCGAGCGUGACGGCGCGAGCAGGUGCGAAAGCAGGUCAUAGUGAUCCGGUGGUUCUGAAUGGAAGGGCCAUCGCUCAACGGAUAAAAGGUACUCCGGGGAUAACAGGCUGAUACCGCCCAAGAGUUCAUAUCGACGGCGGUGUUUGGCACCUCGAUGUCGGCUCAUCACAUCCUGGGGCUGAAGUAGGUCCCAAGGGUAUGGCUGUUCGCCAUUUAAAGUGGUACGCGAGCUGGGUUUAGAACGUCGUGAGACAGUUCGGUCCCUAUCUGCCGUGGGCGCUGGAGAACUGAGGGGGGCUGCUCCUAGUACGAGAGGACCGGAGUGGACGCAUCACUGGUGUUCGGGUUGUCAUGCCAAUGGCACUGCCCGGUAGCUAAAUGCGGAAGAGAUAAGUGCUGAAAGCAUCUAAGCACGAAACUUGCCCCGAGAUGAGUUCUCCCUGAGACUUAGAGUCUCCUGAAGGAACGUUGAAGACGACGACGUUGAUAGGCCGGGUGUGUAAGCGCAGCGAUGCGUUGAGCUAACCGGUACUAAUGAACCGUGAGGCUUAACCUUACAACGCCGAAG
This 2928-nucleotide ribosomal RNA is filed under the name Salmonella enterica subsp. enterica serovar Enteritidis str. EC20120581. RNAcentral describes it as "bacterial LSU rRNA". It matches the Rfam family "Bacterial large subunit ribosomal RNA". The record is from RNAcentral. Lineage: Bacteria; Pseudomonadati; Pseudomonadota; Gammaproteobacteria; Enterobacterales; Enterobacteriaceae.